GAGUUUGAUCUUGGCUCAGGAUGAACGCUGGCGGCGUGCCUAAUACAUGCAAGUCGAGCGAACGGACGAGAAGCUUGCUUCUCUGAUGUUAGCGGCGGACGGGUGAGUAACACGUGGAUAACCUACCUAUAAGACUGGGAUAACUUCGGGAAACCGGAGCUAAUACCGGAUAAUAUUUUGAACCGCAUGGUUCAAAAGUAAAAGACGGUCUUGCUGUCACUUAUAGAUGGAUCCGCGCUGCAUUAGCUAGUUGGUAAGGUAACGGCUUACCAAGGCAACGAUGCAUAGCCGACCUGAGAGGGUGAUCGGCCACACUGGAACUGAGACACGGUCCAGACUCCUACGGGAGCAGCAGUAGGGAAUCUUCCGCAAUGGGCGAAAGCCUGACGGAGCAACGCCGCGUGAGUGAUGAAGGUCUUCGGAUCGUAAAACUCUGUUAUUAGGGAAGAACAUAUGUGUAAGUAACUGUGCACAUCUUGACGGUACCUAAUCAGAAAGCCACGGCUAAC
This 509-nucleotide ribosomal RNA is filed under the name uncultured microorganism. Its description in RNAcentral is "bacterial SSU rRNA". It matches the Rfam family "Bacterial small subunit ribosomal RNA", at positions 9 to 501 of the family's 1533-position model. The record is from RNAcentral.